Arachis duranensis is the source of this 547-nucleotide long non-coding RNA. RefSeq lists it as uncharacterized. The transcript has 4 exons. The record is from RefSeq and is a predicted model, not a curated record. NCBI's taxonomy places the organism in Eukaryota, Viridiplantae, Streptophyta, Magnoliopsida, Fabales, Fabaceae.
CACCAACUCUUAAUUCAGCCAGUGUCUUCCUCCUUGUUCUGAUUUCAAUUUUCCUAUUUUUGAAACCCCCCUUUCUGGCACCUAUUUCCUGUUACAAUUAGGUCGAGUAUUGAAGCUGGUGCUGCCAUGGGACGGUUGAAGCUGUUACUGAUUCUGAUUUUGCUAUCUGGAGUUGAAAUUGCUUUGGAUUCCUAUCCAAUUUGAAUCCUCUAUCUUACUGCAACCAUGGUCAGUGCCGCGAAGGCUAAUACCGUUGCUGUUCCGGUUGCGUGAGAGUUACCGCUGCUGCCUUGAAACUAAAAGAGAAGAGAGUUGUUACGUUAAAGUAUGCGAUUGCGACAUCGAGUGACACAGGUUUGAAGACGCAAUUUGAAGCUGCGAGCGAUUAGUAGGUUUUCUUUAUGGUUUUAAUUGCUUUCAUAGAGUCCCCUCGCUCUUUUCCUUUGAAGUUUUAUUUUAUCAGAGGGGUAGGUGUUGUGUUUGGGUUUAUAUGACUUCUUAUGUAUAAGAGUUACUAUUAAUAAUACUUAUAUGAUUGUUAUUAUUA